GAGCGCGUGCACACCCACCCGCACCGCCGCACGCUCAACCGGGCCACUUAUCUUACAGAAAGCUGGGCUACGAGAGACCACCACCACCGCCACGGCCCGCGCUGCGUCAGCCGACGAACCCACCGUGGCCACGCCCCCGGAGGCAUCGAGGGCAGCACAGUUGCGCCGCGCCGACGGUGCCGGACGAGCAGCCGACCGGCCGUCGACCAGUGGCUCCCACCGAGUCCAGGUUCCUCCCGCGGCGCCACCCAAAGGCGCAGCCGCGCGAGGUACCCCGGGCGGCGGCUGCGGCAAGUGAGGUGAGGUGAGGCUCUUUCUCAAGUCGCUGGUUUCGGGGCCAGUCGGACGAAUCGUUUGAAACGGGGGUUGAUGUUACCCACGAUGUUAGCUUUGAUGAUGACUAGAUCCAGUUCAUCCCCUUUUGGUGCGUUUGGUACUGGUUCGGUUCGAGGAAGUAGACGAUUUGAUCCUUACUCUGAACCUAUCCUAAUUUAGAGAACUGAUUUAUUGAUCCUUACUCUGAACCUAUCCUAAUUUAGAGAGCUGAUUUAUUUAGUUUGGGGAACGUAAUGAGUCGAUUCAGUACAGAAAUACAUUACCACAUCAUCUGUAUGGAAGAAGGAUUGAGAUGAGGGCCUACGAGAUCAGCACUUUAUUUGGUCUCUUCUCUAGCAAUUCACUUGGGCACAUAAUGAUGCGUGAUUGGUUGGGCAAUUCACUUGAGCACAUAAUGAUGCGUGAUUGGUUUGGCAAUCGUUAGAAGGUAAGCAAACUUGUGAUGUGAUUGCAGUUUGGAUUUUUAAUUCAAAAUUGCAAUGUUCUCCGCAGCUUGUAUUAUUCAUGGUAUAACCAAAAUGAUGGCUUUGCACCGUUAGGUAUGGAAUAGCUACUGCCAUUUAUGCUGUAUUAUGCUAUUAGGUUGUGAGGAUGUGUAGGCUGCGUACCGCCACAUUCAUCCCUGUCCACUACUUUUCUUCCUACAUAGGGGCCCUAUGCUAAGUAGGUACCUCGUAUUCUUUUUGUGGUGUAGAAUUGCGGACUGUAUAUGCUGCUGUUUGGAUGGUUUUGUGUGAUUGCUGUCACCGAUGGUGUUAUGUUAGGGUGGUCCAGUGUUAGUGACUAUGAAAUGUGUGGUGGAUGCAAGAUGGCUGUUAUGCUGGUGGUGAAUUGAUAGUUCAGCUGAUGAUUGAAGCCAGUGUUAAGCCCUCGGAUAGGCAAUGUGGAAUAUACACAUUUUUGUUUUGUAGUGGGGCGUGUAUUCUCUUAGCACGGGUACUGCCCUCUGGAGGUGUACAUAUCAGGAAUCAGCAACAAUAUGGCACUCAGCACUAUCUUGAUGUCUCCUUGUUUGGUUAAAUAGGUUUUUGGAGCAGUAUGAAAGCAUUGAAAAAAAAACUCCUUUGCUGGGCCGGUGGAAAAAAGAACAAGUAUGGAGUCGGAAUUCUGACUUGCUCUUUGGAUCCUAUGAAGAUUAAGAGUAUUUGUUUUGUAUGCCAUCAGUCAUCAGACACUUCCAAGUUCCAACUGAACGUUGUAACCUAAGCCUAGAUUCUCAACUGUGGAGGACUAAUCAUGCAGUUGCACUUAAAUGUCAAAUACUAUAUAUUUGAUCAAUGUUAGGGCCCUUUUGACACUGUAAAUCUUCUUGAUUGCCUCUAAUAUUAAUGCAUAUUCUUUGCCAAAUGAAUCUGCAUAUAGUAUCUUUUACUAUCUGCAUCAACUUUAGUUUAUAACUAGCCAGAUACCCAUGCUUUGCUACGGAUUAAAACAAAUUAAUAGUGAGGUUUUUGGGACAAUUUUGUACCUGUAGAUGUUAUAUUGUACAGGUGAAAUAUGAUAUAAUCAUAUAUGUAAAGGGAUUAUUUUAUAACAUAAAAGUACAUGGGGUAGUUGGUAUAAAACAUGAUGGAGUAGAUGGUAAAUAAGAAGUUACUAUACUUGGUGAGGUGGAGGCAGUGAAUCUGCCACCACCAUUGCCCUCUUUUAAGAAGAAUAUCGAUAUGUCUGAAACCAUUUUUAGGUACAUUGAGAUGUUCUUGACUCCAGAGGAUGCAUUUGAGCUGGCUACAAAAGAGCUACAGCAUACUGCUGUGUCCAGGUAACCUUUUAUUCCUCUGUCCUUUUCUAGUUCUGUCAUAUUUUAUAUCUUCAGUUAUCAUUAGUGACUCAGUAAAUCUGCAUCCACAUAUUUUAUUUUGUAUUCUGUAUAUGUCUCAACAUGUCCAUCCGGAGUAUCUUUUCAUAUUUAUGAACUGACAUUUCUAAUAAUGUAUGAAUUACUAUUUUGUCCUGUAGUCAAAUUCACCUCUAGGCUCUAAGCUAACUACAGUUGGUGAUGAAGUCACUAGCUCCUGCACCAAUUUGUAUAGUGACCUCGGUGUAAGUGUGUAGCAUGAUAUCCACCGUGAGACCUUUCAAGAGACAUGACUCUUCUUUUGACCAUCUUCCUAUUCCAAGUGCUUAACGUCUUUGACUUAACCAGAGUGAUCUUGUACCUGUGAGCAUGUCACGACAGGAAGAGAUUUGGAGGCUCAAGAAGAGUCCAAAACUCUGCUUACAUCCAUCUCAUAGUUUGUCAUGCAUGAAUGCAGUAUUAUCACACGGUUGUCUCUAGAGGUCAGCUAUUUUUCUCAUUGCAAAAUGCUAUUUUCACUGAUCGCUGUCAUCCUCCACCAACCUACUAAGGUCGUUAGUGGGGAAGCUUCACGCUCGACAUCUUUCAAAUUGAGGGAGAAUGAGCUGUCUGUCCUUGCCUCCAAGCUUCUUUUCUUAUAUUAUUCUAGUGGUUGACACAUUUCACUGAGAGUCAACUUGGAGUAAACAAAGCUACUCCUUCAAUUGCCUGUCAUUAAGUUCACCGUACACAGAGCCUCCUCCUGGUGUGCUUUUCCUCUUCUAUUAGAAUAUGUGAUGCGCGUGCUUAAUGCUGCCUAUCCUUGUUUUGUCUCUCUCCCUUUCCUAAAGGUGGAGGGUCCGUGUGUAGUCAUUCCUUUAGAUAUUAUAUAUAACCACUUGAAAAACUUUAUGUGUAGGCGUGAUGCCCCUGCAAUGCUUGUUUAUGGUCUUCUUAAAUCUUAAGCAUGUUGUAAAUACAUGGAUAGGAUACGACUGGUUAUUCUUCCUGUCUCUUGUCAAAGCUCAAGUUGAAAACUUUGCCACCGCACUUGGGUUGACAUCUCAACCUAAUUGCUAUUUGACACUGCUAACUUUGAGCACGCGAAAGGAAAUUUCUCCAGUCCAUGCUUGUGUAGUUAGCUACCCAGAGUGCAGACUUGGUGUACUGCACGAAUGGAGACAGGGUGGCGGCAUUGGAAACCAUAUUCUUUGUUCGAUGAUAUCCAAAGUUAGUCAUCCCCUUAUAAACAAGAACCUGACGAAAAGUGCCUGCUGUUCCUUUCACAACAUUCCUUUAGCUCGAUGAGACAACCAAUUUCAGUCAGCUGAUCCCAGAUGACAAUUAGGUUACUGAGUAUUAUUAGGGCACGCUUCCUCCUCCUCUUAAUUUAACUGCUAAGAUUACCAGUUUUUUUGGGUCAGAUCAGGCAAGUGAUCAGGGAUGAGUUUUCUGAGAAUUAAAUAGUGGAAGUGGAGUUCACAUAAUUGUCAGCAGGAACCACCGCUGUGGCAAGUCUAAAGCACAGGAAAUAAAUUAUUUGUAUUUAUUUAGUGUUACUGAUUGGAGGCCAUUUGCUCAACCAUUUGAGUGUGGACCAGAUGAUCAUAUGCUGACAAGUGUUAUGAGCAAUCCCAGUUUCCACUGAAGUCCUGUUAUUAAAUUUCAAGCUCGUCUUUAUUUUGUUCUAUAAUCUGUGCGGGUCCCCAGGAUAUUAUUGAUUUGAAGAAAGGCUAUUUGAGGCAUGCUGCUUGUGAUGGGACACAUUUUAAGCUUAUACUCCACUAUGCCCCUUUUACACGUGCCAAGGUGUGAUCCAUUGUGAGUUCUUGUCAAUAGCUAAUUUGAGUAUUUAUUCAUAUCAUGGGCUCAUUGCUAAUCUUAGUUUUGAAUAUGAGUGCUAUUUUUCAUGUAUUCCUUUUUAAAUUUGCACUAGCCUAGUGCUUAUAACCUUCUCAUAUCCAUGAUUAUGUAUUAAAAAAACUGUGCCAGCAGCCCAGCAUUUUGUACAGCAGUAAUUCUCAGUCCAAGCUAACAAUUUGCUGACUUGAAUAUAGUGUGAAAUCACUCUGUUAUUGGGGCGCUCCUGUAGCUGUAAGUGCCACUUUCUUCUCUUGCUGGAACAUGUAAACUACUGCUUUGCGAAGGAAAGAAAAUCACAGAGUACAUAUUGAGUUACAUCAGUAUGCUAUAUAUUUGCUCAUAUGUUACUUUCUGUAUUUGAGAUAUCUGUUAUACUACAUAUGAUGCCCGUUUUGUUACCCUGAUAAAAAAAAAACUGUCUGCUUUAGUCACCGGUCUCAUUCUGUAGCUUUCCCUUUCAGUUUUGUCUUGGAAAUUUCAUCUCCCUAGGUUUCUUAGCAUAUUACCCUAUAGUUCUACAUCUAUUUGUCAUGCUAAUGAAGAUACUAAAGUAUUUUAAUCAACAGUUUAUUUGCAUUUUUACCGGAGUACCUCACUGGGAAGAGAUGCCUUAUCCUCAAUUAAGGAAAGGCAGCCAACACAUUAUGCUGUUUCCCUGCUUCUCUUUCUGCAUCUGACCUGCCGCUGAUUUUAAUCUGUGUUCAGAUUUCAGGCUGAUACUUUCCUGGCAUUCACACAUCAUCUUAUGUGACGCAAAGCGUCAGGAAGCAAUGAAUUGCAUUCUUGAAGCCUUUGUCCCCAAGCCCACUACCACCAAAGCCAUCACCGUCACUCACCAACCCUAGGGCGAGCUCUUUGUUCAAUGGCCCUGCAAAUGCAGUCUCUGCUCCAUUGUUGGCCGAGCAGCAAGAGAACAAAGAGUAAACAAGACAAGGUGGUGCAGUAAGCAGGGAACUAAACAGCAGAGGGAUUCAUGACACUGAGACACAGUCAACUGACCCACUCAAGUGGAAGAAGACCAUGGAGCAAAGUAGCUCUUCUUACUGUUUCUGAGAAUAUUCCUCCCUCGUCGGCCAUAGCUGUGUGAUUUCCCAUGGCUUCAUUUUGUAAUGAUAAGUUACCUGACAUGGUCAUGGUAAAGUAAAGUUGAUGAAAAAAGUCAGCUUAGAUCUUCACCAUCUGGAAGACAUACUAUCAGCAGACUAAGCAGCACGUCCAUAUCAUUUCCAGAAUCAUAUCAAGCAGGCUGCUGAGCGUGCGACGGGUUUUGCAGAAGCACAAGGCUGGUACACAGAGAUGCUCGAGUUUCCGGUGUUUGCGUGUUUACCACUACGAAAGAACACUAUUAGGACAGAGUGAUGCUCUUGAUGCGCAAGAAGCCGGGUGCUGCUUACUCCGUGCGAGUUGUGACAGGCACCUUUCAUGGACCAAUCGCCCAUCACCGAAUAACGUGGCAGCAGUCUCAGUGAGAAGGUUGGCAGGUUAUCACCGUGUCUCGUACUGACAAUUCAAGUUUCUGAAUUAACCUAUGCCCAUUUCUUCUGCAUCUAUAAAACCUUGUAAUUAAGAAGCUUUUGUCCUGCCUCUAAUUUUUACCUUUAGAAGUAAAACUAUAUAUAUGCACAUCAUGUUAUCUUAAGUGAUGUACUGUCUCCUUCCCAAAAUAUAGCUAUUUUUAGCACAA
Oryza sativa Japonica Group (Japanese rice) is the source of this 5660-nucleotide non-coding RNA. NCBI's taxonomy places the organism in Eukaryota, Viridiplantae, Streptophyta, Magnoliopsida, Poales, Poaceae. The record is from RefSeq and is a predicted model, not a curated record.